This 460-nucleotide ribosomal RNA is filed under the name uncultured bacterium. RNAcentral describes it as "bacterial SSU rRNA". It matches the Rfam family "Bacterial small subunit ribosomal RNA", at positions 977 to 1434 of the family's 1533-position model. The record is from RNAcentral.
GGGCUUGACAUCCCACGAACCUGCCCGAAAGGGUCGGGUGCCCGCAAGGGAGCGUGGAGACAGGUGGUGCAUGGCUGUCGUCAGCUCGUGUCGUGAGAUGUUGGGUUAAGUCCCGCAACGAGCGCAACCCUCACCCCUUGUUGCCACCGGGUCAUGCCGAGCACUCUAGGGGAACUGCCAGCGUCAAGCUGGAGGAAGGCGGGGAUGACGUCAAGUCAUCAUGCCCCUUACGCCCUGGGCAACACACGUGCUACAAUGGCUGGUACAAAGGGACGCAAGACCGCGAGGUGGAGCUAAUCCCAAAAAACCAGUCUAAGUUCAGAUUGCAGUCUGCAACUCGACUGCAUGAAGGAGGAAUCGCUAGUAAUCGCGCAUCAGCACGGCGCGGUGAAUACGUUCCCGGGCCUUGUACACACCGCCCGUCACACCACGAAAGCCGGCUGUACUCGAAGUCGCUGAG